AGUGAACGCUGGCGGUAGGCCUAACACAUGCAAGUCGAACGGCAGCACAGUAAGAGCUUGCUCUUACGGGUGGCGAGUGGCGGACGGGUGAAGAAUACAUCGGAAUCUACUUUUUCGUGGGGGAUCACGUAGGGAAACUUACGCUAAUACCGCAUACGACCUACGGGUGAAAGCAGGAGAUCUUCGGACCUUGCGCUAUUGAAUGAGCCGAUAUCGGAUUAGCUAGUUGGCGGGGUAAAGGCCCACCAAGGCGACGAUCCGUAGCUGGUCUGAGAGGAUGAUCAGCCACACUGGAACUGAGACACGGUCCAGACUCCUACGGGAGGCAGCAGUGGGGAAUAUUGGACAAUGGGCGCAAGCCUGAUCCAGCCAUACCGCGUGGGUGAAGAAGGCCUUCGGGUUGUAAAGCCCUUUUGUUGGGAAAGAAAAGCAGCAGGUUAAUACCCCGCUGUUCUGACGUUACCCAAAGAAUAAGCACCGGCUAACUUCGUG
RNAcentral lists this ribosomal RNA (492 nucleotides) under uncultured bacterium. RNAcentral describes it as "partial 16S ribosomal RNA". It matches the Rfam family "Bacterial small subunit ribosomal RNA", at positions 29 to 507 of the family's 1533-position model. The record is from RNAcentral.